UGUGGUGUAGCCCAGUGGUAGGGCACUUGCCUAGCCUGUGCAAGGUCCUGGGCUCAAUCCCUAGCUCCACAC
Molecule: transfer RNA, 72 nt
Filed under: Marmota marmota marmota (Alpine marmot)
Lineage: Eukaryota; Metazoa; Chordata; Mammalia; Rodentia; Sciuridae
Also listed under: 1 other name
Rfam family: tRNA
About the family: Transfer RNA (tRNA) molecules are approximately 80 nucleotides in length.
Source: Rfam by way of RNAcentral